UAUGUUUCAGGAAAUGCUCUAUGUACAGUGAAGUGUGAUGAGAAAGUGAAAGUGUUUUCUGUCCGUGGAACAUCCUUUGAAGCUGCAGCAACAAGUGGCGGUAGUGCCAGUUCAGAAAAGGCAUCAAGUACUUCACCAGUGGAAAUAUCAGAGUGGCUUGACCAGAAAUUAACAAAAAGUGAUCGACCAGAGCUAACAGGUGCCAAAGUGGUGGUAUCCGGUGGUCGAGGCUUGAAGAGUGGAGAGAACUUUAAGUUGUUAUAUGACUUGGCAGAUCAACUACAUGCUGCAGUUGGUGCUUCCCGUGCUGCUGUUGAUGCUGGCUUUGUUCCCAAUGACAUGCAAGUUGGACAGACAGGAAAAAUAGUAGCACCAAGGACAGAGAGAAAUGCUGUAUAGACUUGUAGUCCAG
This 412-nucleotide small RNA is filed under the name Pongo abelii (Sumatran orangutan). RNAcentral describes it as "processed transcript". Lineage: Eukaryota; Metazoa; Chordata; Mammalia; Primates; Hominidae. The record is from RNAcentral.